AACGAACGCUGGCGGCAGGCUUAACACAUGCAAGUCGAACGCCCCGCAAGGGGAGUGGCAGACGGGUGAGUAACGCGUGAGAAUCUACCCAUCUCUGCGGAAUAGCUCUGGGAAACUGGAAUUAAUACCGCAUACGCCCUACGGGGGAAGGAUUUAUCGGGGAUGGAUGAGCCCGCGUUGGAUUAGCUAGUUGGUGGGGUAAAGGCCUACCAAGGCGACGAUUCAUAGCUGGUCUGAGAGGAUGAUCAGCCACUUGGGGACUGGGAAGCAGCCCAGACUCCUAGAGGAGGAGGCAAUGGUGAAUAUUGGACAAUGGCCGCAAGCCUGCUCCAACCAUGCCGCGUGAGUGAUGAAGGCCUUAGGGUUGUAAAGCUCUUUCCCCGAUGAAGAUAAUGACGGUAGUCGGAGAAGAAGCCCCGGCUAACUUCGUGCCAGCAGCCGCCGUAA
Molecule: ribosomal RNA, 447 nt
Filed under: uncultured bacterium
Lineage: Bacteria
Description: partial 16S ribosomal RNA
Rfam family: Bacterial small subunit ribosomal RNA
Source: RNAcentral